Molecule: ribosomal RNA, 674 nt
Filed under: Leptolyngbya sp. tsf3f13
Lineage: Bacteria; Bacillati; Cyanobacteriota; Cyanophyceae; Leptolyngbyales; Leptolyngbyaceae
Description: bacterial SSU rRNA
Rfam family: Bacterial small subunit ribosomal RNA
Source: RNAcentral
UCGGACGGGUGGGUAACGCGUGAGGAUCUGCCCUUAGGUGGGGGAUAACGGUUGGAAACGACCGCUAAUACCGCAUAUGCCGAGAGGUGAAAGAUUAAUUGCCUGAGGAUGAGCUCGCGUCCGAUUAGCUAGUUGGUGAGGUAAGGGCUCACCAAGGCGACGAUCGGUAGCUGGUCUGAGAGGAUGACCAGUCACACUGGGACUGAGACACGGCCCAGACUCCUACGGGAGGCAGCAGUGGGGAAUUUUCCGCAAUGGGCGAAAGCCUGACGGAGCAAGACCGCGUGAGGGAAGAAGGUCUGUGGAUUGUAAACCUCUUUUGAUAGGGAAGAAGAACUGACGGUACCUAUCGAAUCAGCCUCGGCUAACUCCGUGCCAGCAGCCGCGGUAAUACGGAGGAGGCAAGCGUUAUCCGGAUUUAUUGGGCGUAAAGCGUCCGUAGGUGGUUGGUCAAGUCUGCUGUUAAAGAGUGGAGCUUAACUCCAUAAGGGCGGUGGAAACUGGUCAGCUAGAGUGCGAUAGGGGCAAGGGGAAUUCCCAGUGUAGCGGUGAAAUGCGUAGAUAUUGGGAAGAACACCGGUGGCGAAAGCGCCUUGCUGGGUCUGCACUGACACUGAGGGACGAAAGCUAGGGGAGCGAAAGGGAUUAGAUACCCCUGUUAGUCAUAACUCUUC